GACGUAGGGCGCGAGCGUUGUCCGGAAUUAUUGGGCGUAAAGAGCUUGUAGGCGGUUUGUCGCGUCUGCCGUGAAAAUUCGAGGCUCAACCUCGAACUUGCGGUGGGUACGGGCAGACUAGAGUGUGGUAGGGGAGACUGGAAUUCCUGGUGUAGCGGUGAAAUGCGCAGAUAUCAGGAGGAACACCGAUGGCGAAGGCAGGUCUCUGGGCCACUACUGACGCUGAGAAGCGAAAGCAUGGGGAGCGAACAGG
This 253-nucleotide ribosomal RNA is filed under the name uncultured bacterium. RNAcentral's name for it is "partial 16S ribosomal RNA". It matches the Rfam family "Bacterial small subunit ribosomal RNA", at positions 524 to 776 of the family's 1533-position model. The record is from RNAcentral.